Molecule: unclassified non-coding RNA, 378 nt
Filed under: uncultured Parachlamydiaceae bacterium
Lineage: Bacteria; Pseudomonadati; Chlamydiota; Chlamydiia; Parachlamydiales; Parachlamydiaceae
Description: contains 16S-23S intergenic spacer region
Source: RNAcentral
UCCUGGUUAACCCAGGCAGUCUCAUUAGAGUCCCCAGCAUUACCUGUUGGCAACUAAUGAUAAGGGUUGCGCUCGUUGCGGGACUUAACCCAACACCUCACGGCACGAGCUGACGACAGCCAUGCAGCACCUGUGCAGAAGCCCCGAAGGGAACUAUCAUUUCUGAUAGCGUCUUCUGCAUGUCAAGUCUAGGUAAGGUUCUUCGCGUUGCAUCGAAUUAAACCACAUGCUCCACUGCUUGUGCGGGUCCCCGUCAAUUCUUUUGAGUUUCACCCUUGCGAGCGUACUCCCCAGGCGGUAUACUUAUCGCGUUAGCUUCGGCACAGUCAGGGUUGAGUCCGACUACACCAAGUAUACAUCGUUUACGGCGAGGACUAC